RNAcentral lists this long non-coding RNA (410 nucleotides) under Cricetulus griseus (Chinese hamster). Its description in RNAcentral is "lncRNA (ENSCGRG00015035381.1)". The record is from RNAcentral. Lineage: Eukaryota; Metazoa; Chordata; Mammalia; Rodentia; Cricetidae.
CCAGCUUCAGUUCCUCUCCUCACAGCCUAGCUUGUUCUCUACCCUGGCUGCCAUCUAGGAUGAGUGGCUGGCUCAGACCCUAGUGUCAGCGCCCUAAUCCCCACCGGGCCAGGCACCGGUGCUGUGUUGUGCGGGCACGCUCUCUGGAAGUUUCUACAUCCAGAAACUUCCACCAUCGAAACAGUCUGGGACAAAAUACGAAUAUAUUUGGGUCGUGGAAAGAGCAUUUAAAGAUGGCUGAAAAGAGAGAAUUCCCUUUAUUCAAUCAAUGAACAUCAAAGAAAUAAAAAUUAAAGAGUCUUCAUAAUUCCUACUCUGAGAAAGACUAUCGUGGAUUUAUUAACAUAUCUAUUCCUCUGGGUUGUGUUUAGAAUUGGUUUUUCUCUGGGGAGGGGUUGUCUGGGAUUGAG